CCUACGGGGGGCAGCAGUGGGGAAUAUUGCGCAAUGGGCGAAAGCCUGACGCAGCGACGCCGCGUGAGGGAUGAAGGUCUUCGGAUCGUAAACCUCUGUCAGCAGGGAAGAACGGUCACUGUGCUAAUCAGCAGUGAAUUGACGGUACCUGCAAAGGAAGCACCGGCUAACUCCGUGCCAGCAGCCGCGGUAAUACGGCGGGGGGGAGCGUUAAUCGGAAUUACUGGGCGUAAAGCGCUCGUAGGCGGUAGGUCAAGUCAAGGGUGAAAUCCCCGGGCUCAACGUGGGAACUGCCUUUGAGACUGGCAAGCUGGAGUGUGUGAGAGGAUAGUGGAAUUCCAGGUGUAGGAGUGAAAUGCGUAGAUAUCUGGAGGAACAUCAGUGGCGAAGGCGACUAUCUGGCACGUAACUGACGCUGAGGAGCGAAAGCGUGGGUAGCAAACAGGAUUAGAUACCCUGGUAGUC
This 465-nucleotide ribosomal RNA is filed under the name uncultured bacterium. RNAcentral's name for it is "partial 16S ribosomal RNA". It matches the Rfam family "Bacterial small subunit ribosomal RNA", at positions 338 to 795 of the family's 1533-position model. The record is from RNAcentral.